Molecule: ribosomal RNA, 255 nt
Filed under: uncultured bacterium
Lineage: Bacteria
Description: partial 16S ribosomal RNA
Rfam family: Bacterial small subunit ribosomal RNA
Source: RNAcentral
UACGGAGGGUGCAAGCGUUGUCCGGAAUCACUGGGCGUAAAGGGCGCGUAGGCGGCUCAUGAAGGCUGUGGUGAAAGUCCGGGGCUCAACCUCGGAUCGGCCGUGGCGACUCGUGGGCUGGAGCACUGUAGAGGCGGGUGGAAUUCCGGGUGUAGGCGGAUGGAAUGCGUAGAGAUCCGGAAGAACACCAGUGGCGAAGGCGGCCCGCUGGGCAGUGGCUGACGCUGAGGCGCGACAGCGUGGGGAGCAAACAGG